AGCAUAAGGCCCAAGGACAGGAAUGACAACAACGACAAAAUGAAUAUCUGGCUCUGCCGCGUGAUUCAGUGGCAUUGUUAACCGAGAGAAUUACAAUGGAAAAAGCAAUGGGAUCACGUGACCGUAUCAAUAACUCCAACGCGAGCUUCUCUCACUCUUCAACAGAUCAUCCCGAAAUCAGGAUAUCAUCGUAUCAAUCAACAGAUUCCUCAAGCAUCAGAAGAUAAGCAUCUGCUAAGGAGUCUGGUUAUGUAAUCUACAUAUGGGCGGACUUCCCCCAGGCGUUAAAUCCGCUGGUCGCCCUCCCCCUCGCACUUCAACCAGACUCCAGAAGAAGGGAAAAAGAAUCGUGGACGUGUCAGGAUGUCAGCAACCAAAGAAUACUGAAUCGGGAGACACCUUCUGCUCCAGCCCACGUCCUCCUCCUGCCCUCCCCCCCCACUCCCUCUCCGCCCCCUAUACAUUUGCCUUUCCCCCUCCUCCCUCCUUGCCCAAUGUACCCCUGUUAACCCUCCCUGACCCGGGUAUGUCCCCCUACCCACGUCUCUAUCCUCACCCCCCACCGCAUCCCUCUCCCUAUCCCCCUAAUCCCCCUACCCUCCCUUUAUACCCAAUACCCCCCUACCCUUACCCUUACCCUUACCCAACCCUCCCCCAAUAACCUCCCUUACCUAUGCCUCCCCCCCCACCCUCCCCAAUCACAUAGGAGCGAAAGAUGUCUCCGGUGAAGAACUUAAUCAAAUCUGGAGUGUUUUCCCAGUUCCUAAUCAGAGACGAAGGUUCGGAGAGCAAGAACCCUAAUGUCAUUUCCAGGCGGCCGACAAGACAAAGCAAAGGGGAAAAUGCGACCGACAAACAUGUUUUCGAAACUUCUUGGCUUUUCUCCUUUUUCAUUAUCCUCCCUCACCCCCUGAAGUCUUAAUGCUGAGAGUGGGAAGGUAUGAACCGACCUCCAUACCUGGCCGAGGCACAUGGCGUAAAACUGUCUUGACUCGAUGUUCAUGCUUGACAUCUUGAGAAUGUAAGGAAAACAGUCUAUA
This 1040-nucleotide long non-coding RNA is filed under the name Penaeus japonicus. RNAcentral's name for it is "uncharacterized LOC122263770". The record is from RNAcentral. Lineage: Eukaryota; Metazoa; Arthropoda; Malacostraca; Decapoda; Penaeidae.